RNAcentral lists this microRNA precursor (119 nucleotides) under Haemonchus contortus (barber pole worm). RNAcentral describes it as "microRNA hco-mir-5978 precursor". The record is from miRBase by way of RNAcentral. Lineage: Eukaryota; Metazoa; Nematoda; Chromadorea; Rhabditida; Trichostrongylidae.
UGCCAACAAUUCAUUUGCCCAUGUUCGAGACUAGAGUCACUCCGCAUUCUCUGAUGAAUGUGGAGUGCUAAAAUGUUCUCGAAUAUCAAAUAGGCAUAUUAUGCGAGUAGGCCUCGCUC